Molecule: transfer RNA, 73 nt
Organism: Babjeviella inositovora NRRL Y-12698
Lineage: Eukaryota; Fungi; Ascomycota; Pichiomycetes; Serinales
Rfam family: tRNA
About the family: Transfer RNA (tRNA) molecules are approximately 80 nucleotides in length.
Source: Rfam
GCGACUUUAGCUCAGUCGGGAGAGCGUUAGACUGAAGAUCUAAAGGUCCUGUGUUCGAUCCACAGAAGUCGCA